AACGAACGCUGGCGGCAGGCCUAAAACAUGCAAGUCGAGCGGGCAUAGCAAUAUGUCAGCGGCGGACGGGUGAAUAACACGUGGGAACAUGCCCUUUGGUACGGAACAACUCAGGGAAACUUGAGCUAAUACCGUAUGUGCCGGUAACGGGAAAGAUUUAUCGCCAAAGGAUUGGCCCGCGUCCGAUUAGCUAGUUGGUGAGGUAACGGCUCACCAAGGCGACGAUCGGUAGCUGGUUUGAGAGAACGAUCAGCCACACUGGGACUGAGACACGGCCCAGACUCCUACGGGAGGCAGCAGUUGGGAAUCUUGGACAAUGGGGGAAACCCUGAUCCAGCCAUGCCGCGUGAGCGAUGAAGGCC
RNAcentral lists this ribosomal RNA (362 nucleotides) under uncultured bacterium. RNAcentral describes it as "bacterial SSU rRNA". It matches the Rfam family "Bacterial small subunit ribosomal RNA", at positions 29 to 416 of the family's 1533-position model. The record is from RNAcentral.